AAGAUUUUAGUUAAACCAUAACAGUAGUCUGUCAGCCUACAAUUACCCUCCAGGUAAAUCUUA
This 63-nucleotide transfer RNA is filed under the name Helobdella robusta. RNAcentral describes it as "tRNA-Asp". Lineage: Eukaryota; Metazoa; Annelida; Clitellata; Rhynchobdellida; Glossiphoniidae. The record is from RNAcentral.